CAAUAGCGUAUAUUAAAGUUGUUGCAGUUAAAAAGCUCGUAGUUGGAUUUGUGGCGUACGGUGGGUUCCGGGCACUUGUUGUCUGAGUAACUUGCUGUUGCCAUCCUUGGGUGGAACCUGUGUGGCAUUAGGUUGUCGUGCAGGGGAUGCCCAUCAUUUACUGUGAAAAAAUUAGAGUGUUCAAAGCAGGCUUAUGCCGUUGAAUAUAUUAGCAUGGAAUAAUGAGAUAGGACUUUUUUGCUAUUUUGUUGGUUUGCGCAAAGAGGUAAUGAUUAAUAGGGACAGUUGGGGGUAUCCGUAUUCCAUUGUCAGAGGUGAAAUUCUUGGAUUUUUGGAAGACGAACUACUGCGAAAGCAUUUACCAAGGAUGUUUUCAUUAA
This 380-nucleotide ribosomal RNA is filed under the name uncultured eukaryote. RNAcentral describes it as "partial 18S ribosomal RNA". It matches the Rfam family "Eukaryotic small subunit ribosomal RNA", at positions 592 to 976 of the family's 1831-position model. The record is from RNAcentral.